Molecule: long non-coding RNA, 1428 nt
Organism: Dreissena polymorpha
Lineage: Eukaryota; Metazoa; Mollusca; Bivalvia; Myida; Dreissenidae
Exons: 3
Source: RefSeq, a predicted model, not a curated record
UUGCUGUGAUAAUAUAUUUUAUAUUGUCUGCAUUAUGUAGUAACUAUGUAAUGUUCAUAUGUUUACCAAAUAAAAUCAAUCAAUAAAAUCAAUCAAUCAAAGAUUGUGUCAAAAUGGCUUGGGUCAACACACAAGACGCCUCUGUCUUUGUCCGUGGUUUGAAGACUUUUCUGGAAGAAAACCACAAGAGACACCUACUGGGGGACUCCGGCUAUCAACAAUAGGUACAACAAUGCCCAGUCAAGUGUAUUGUGGUUGAGAGGGCUUUUGGACUGCCAAAGAGUAGAUUUAGGUGUCUACAUAAAACUGGCUGUUGUUUAUUAAUGAGACACGAUGAGUGCUGUCAAGCAGUGGCUGCAUGAAUGUGCCUGCACAACUUAUGCAUAGAUUAGCAGGUGCCACUGCCUAAACAACUUACCGAGGCACAGGAAGUGGAAGAUGUUGUGCACAGUUCACAACAAGACCAAAAUGCAGCUUUUAUGGACAACACAUCAUUAACUUAUUUAUGUAGUUGCUGUUUUAUGCUCACAUGUGCAUGAAGUGCUAUAGGUGAGUCAUUGUGGUUUGUCUAUGUUCGGCGACAUGUGUUAAUAUUCAAUAUUUGACUCUUUGUUGAUGAAAGAUGGUCAUUAUGUUUCUGCUAAUGAUACAUAAUAACUUAAUAAGUUAAUGAUUUCUUGUCUAUGAGCUGCUGCAUUUCUGUCAAGUGUGGUCAACAUCUUUGUAAAAGUGUGGAUAUUGACAAUUUCUGCCGUUCUUUUGUGGAUUUUUUUCAUUAAAGACACACUGUUUACAAUAUUCAUUUAUGCAAUGCGUACGAUGAUUACAUGUUUCCUUUAUAUUAUAACAACGUGAAAAUAAAUUCUACCCCUUUAUUUAAUUAUCUGUGUAACAUAACAAUACAGGGUUUUCUCCAACAACUCUACAGCUAGGGAACAAUGAAGUGGAACACUAUCUGAAAAUGAAAUACAUUUUAUGUUAAUAAAAUUUGUAUUUGUAAGACAAGUGAUGAAAUAAAAGGUUAACAUUGUAACAUAAAGAGAUGUGGUUUCUGUUUGUUCUUUAAAGAGCAUGUACUGUGUACAGUACACUCCACGCGUUUUCCCCAAAAAACGCGCUCCCUCCGCGGGUUUUUUCUGCUAGCGAGUGUUCACGCGGCGUUGGAAGAGCGAGGUGAACUCGAUAAAACGCUCGGCGUUACGCCGCGUUCGCUAAUUCCCGCGGCGUGUAUUACUUUAGGCUAGUCGGUAAAUGCAGACACCUUCCGUUCUUAUCAGUGAUCGCCGCGCAACGCCGCGUUAGCAGUGUGCUACUGGGCAUGCCAAAAAAUAAAAACAUUGUUAUAAUAAAUUGUUUAAAUACUGUAGUACAUGUAUAAAAAGAUAAUUGUAUAGAAAAUUAAUACGUAUAAAAAUUAUGUUUUUUAAU